Molecule: ribosomal RNA, 429 nt
Filed under: bacterium
Lineage: Bacteria
Description: partial 16S ribosomal RNA
Rfam family: Bacterial small subunit ribosomal RNA
Source: RNAcentral
UAGGGAAUCUUCGGCAAUGGGGGCAACCCUGACCGAGCAACGCCGCGUGAGUGAAGAAGGUUUUCGGAUCGUAAAGCUCUGUUGUAAGAGAAGAACGUGUGUGAGAGUGGAAAGUUCACACAGUGACGGUAACUUACCAGAAAGGGACGGCUAACUACGUGCCAGCAGCCGCGGUAAUACGUAGGUCCCGAGCGUUGUCCGGAUUUAUUGGGCGUAAAGCGAGCGCAGGCGGUUUAAUAAGUCUGAAGUUAAAGGCAGUGGCUUAACCAUUGUUCGCUGUGGAAACUGUUAAACUUGAGUGCAGAAGGGGAGAGUGGAAGUCCAUGUGUAGCGGUGAAAUGCGUAGAUAUAUGGAGGAACACCGGUGGCGAAAGCGGCUCUCUGGUCUGUAACUGACGCUGAGGCUCGAAAGCGUGGGGAGCAAACAGG